Molecule: ribosomal RNA, 253 nt
Filed under: uncultured bacterium
Lineage: Bacteria
Description: partial 16S ribosomal RNA
Rfam family: Bacterial small subunit ribosomal RNA
Source: RNAcentral
UACGGGGAGUGCGAGCGUUGUUCGGAAUUAUUGGGCGUAAAGCGCGUGUAGGCGGCUCGACAAGUCUGGAGUGAAAGCCCUCGGCUCAACCGAGGAAGCGCUUUGGAAACUGUCGGGCUUGAGUCCUGGAGGGGCGGGUGGAAUUCCCAGUGUAGAGGUGAAAUUCGUAGAUAUUGGGAGGAACACCAGUGGCGAAGGCGGCCCGCUGGACAGUGACUGACGCUGAGACGCGAAAGCGUGGGGAGCAAACAGG